RNAcentral lists this ribosomal RNA (1356 nucleotides) under Salmonella enterica subsp. enterica serovar Kentucky. Its description in RNAcentral is "partial 23S ribosomal RNA". It matches the Rfam family "Bacterial large subunit ribosomal RNA", at positions 1526 to 2858 of the family's 2925-position model. The record is from RNAcentral. Lineage: Bacteria; Pseudomonadati; Pseudomonadota; Gammaproteobacteria; Enterobacterales; Enterobacteriaceae.
GGUUUUCCAGGCAAAUCCGGAAAAUCAAGGCUGAGGCGUGAUGACGAGGCACUACGGUGCUGAAGCAACAAAUGCCCUGCUUCCAGGAAAAGCCUCUAAGCAUCAGGUAACAUCAAAUCGUACCCCAAACCGACACAGGUGGUCAGGUAGAGAAUACCAAGGCGCUUGAGAGAACUCGGGUGAAGGAACUAGGCAAAAUGGUGCCGUAACUUCGGGAGAAGGCACGCUGACACGUAGGUGAAGUGAUUUACUCAUGGAGCUGAAGUCAGUCGAAGAUACCAGCUGGCUGCAACUGUUUAUUAAAAACACAGCACUGUGCAAACACGAAAGUGGACGUAUACGGUGUGACGCCUGCCCGGUGCCGGAAGGUUAAUUGAUGGGGUCAGCGCAAGCGAAGCUCCUGAUCGAAGCCCCGGUAAACGGCGGCCGUAACUAUAACGGUCCUAAGGUAGCGAAAUUCCUUGUCGGGUAAGUUCCGACCUGCACGAAUGGCGUAAUGAUGGCCAGGCUGUCUCCACCCGAGACUCAGUGAAAUUGAACUCGCUGUGAAGAUGCAGUGUACCCGCGGCAAGACGGAAAGACCCCGUGAACCUUUACUAUAGCUUGACACUGAACAUUGAGCCUUGAUGUGUAGGAUAGGUGGGAGGCUUUGAAGUGUGGACGCCAGUCUGCAUGGAGCCGACCUUGAAAUACCACCCUUUAAUGUUUGAUGUUCUAACGUGGACCCGUAAUCCGGGUUGCGGACAGUGUCUGGUGGGUAGUUUGACUGGGGCGGUCUCCUCCUAAAGAGUAACGGAGGAGCACGAAGGUUGGCUAAUCCUGGUCGGACAUCAGGAGGUUAGUGCAAUGGCAUAAGCCAGCUUGACUGCGAGCGUGACGGCGCGAGCAGGUGCGAAAGCAGGUCAUAGUGAUCCGGUGGUUCUGAAUGGAAGGGCCAUCGCUCAACGGAUAAAAGGUACUCCGGGGAUAACAGGCUGAUACCGCCCAAGAGUUCAUAUCGACGGCGGUGUUUGGCACCUCGAUGUCGGCUCAUCACAUCCUGGGGCUGAAGUAGGUCCCAAGGGUAUGGCUGUUCGCCAUUUAAAGUGGUACGCGAGCUGGGUUUAGAACGUCGUGAGACAGUUCGGUCCCUAUCUGCCGUGGGCGCUGGAGAACUGAGGGGGGCUGCUCCUAGUACGAGAGGACCGGAGUGGACGCAUCACUGGUGUUCGGGUUGUCAUGCCAAUGGCACUGCCCGGUAGCUAAAUGCGGAAGAGAUAAGUGCUGAAAGCAUCUAAGCACGAAACUUGCCCCGAGAUGAGUUCUCCCUGAGACUUAGAGUCUCCUGAAGGAACGUUGAAGACGACGACGUUGAUA